This is a long non-coding RNA of Brassica napus (rape), 3000 nucleotides long. RefSeq lists it as uncharacterized. The record is from RefSeq and is a predicted model, not a curated record. Lineage: Eukaryota; Viridiplantae; Streptophyta; Magnoliopsida; Brassicales; Brassicaceae. The transcript is spliced from 5 exons.
GAAGGUGAAUUGAUUCAGGACAAUGGGAUAAGCUGAAAGGAAAGAGUGUUUGAUUGAUCUUCGAGGUAAUCAGGAGAAACACUGGAUUCAUGAAGGUCAAAAGGAGAAUACUAAACAGCGACAGACAGAGAGAGAAGUCACGAAGCGUUUGAGGGGCUGUCUGAAGUCGAAGAGGUGGAGUUUUGUUGUUUGGGCUUCAACUUCACACAAGCCCAAUGCUCGGCGCUUAGUUCUUCCUAUUGGGCCUAUAACAGCCCGUUAGCCGCGUCACCUUUUGAGAGAGUUAGGUGAGGCCGUUAUAACGGUUGGUGAGUCAGCUUCAUCUCGUUGGUGCGAUCAUAAUCUGAAAACAGAGAAAACAGAUCAGAGAGAGAGGCGAUACGAAGGUUGUUGAGAUCGAAGAGAAAGAGAGUCUCAUCUCGUGAUAGAAGAGCAAGGAACCGGCGGAGAAGAUUCCUCAGCUGCUUCUAUAGAGAUUCCGAUUACCUGUGGUGUAUUUCGGAGAGUAUGAGGUAAUACCGAGACUUUGUACCGAUCUAAAGAAUAUAGUGAAAGCUUGAGAGUUUCGAUCUCUCCCCAGACAGUAGGCAACGAAGUCUGGGUAAACAAUCUUGUGUUUUCUUUACGUUUAAGCUCGUACGUACCAAGAAGAUCUCAAAAUUGAACUAAAACCGUUAGACACUCGAAAACGAAUCAAGAUCGAUAGUAGCUAAAGGUCAACAGAUCUUAACUUGUUUUGGUGAUUUUUAUUCCAUAAGCUGUCAGAUUGAUGAUGUAUACAUUCAACAUCCGUAUGUUUUGGUUUGAAUAAUUGUCCGUCAAAUAAGUUGGUGAUUUAAUUGUUGCUUUCAAUCUCAAAUCAAAGAUUCUAAACUUUGAUGUCACUAUGGUUUCCGCAAAAGCCCCCUGCGUGCUGAACCGCUUCUCCCUCUCCUGUCACCACGAAAAUAAGUGACUGACGACAAUCUUGCUCUUUGGAUUAGAACAAGAACGAAAGGAUAAAGUGGGAAUAUAGGACACGAGAAGCACUGGUUCGUUAACAACUUCAGUUAGUGCGAAGAGAAAAGCUGUUUCAAGAAAAGUGACGUUCCAGAGUUACAUUUGUACGGUGUUUGGCCAGCGUGUAAUACUAAUAUGCAUCACAAUGGAUAUAUAGCUUAACAGUAAAUUUAUGAUCACAUGGUUUGACCCUCUUGCACUAUAUCUCUCUUUCGCCCCAUUCACUAGCACGAAUCUCUCUGAUCUCAUAUAAUUUUGUUGUUAUUUGUGGAACCAUUUUAAAGAUCAAAGCUCAUUGCUGUGUUCACGAAAUUUAAGCAGGUCUCUUGAUGGAAGCUUGACUGAUAGGUGAGUGUCCAUGCAGAUUUGACUCGAUGUUGUCUUUGAUAAUGAAAGAAUCAAGAACAAUAUCUUAUGAAGAUCACUAGGACCGCCAUAAGAAACCAGGACAAGCCGAAGUAAUCCUCUGCAGUCCAUGGCAAACGAAGCAUCUACAUCAAUCGGCGUCAGUUUACAGCACAAAGAUGCUUAGUGUUAUACGUUUCUCAGCUCACUCCAGGACUUACUUGGUGCGAGCGAUGGAGAGAAUUAGGAGGAGAUUUUGUUUCUUGGUUUUGGUUUCUGGCCAGAGAAGCAAAGAUAAUUCUUAUUCAGGUCAUUUCUUGCUUUUAAAUGUUUCUCAGAUUUUUUUCUGUAUCUGGUAUAGUGUUUCGAUUUAGAUUGUCAGCACUUGCCUUAAGUAUUGACAUGAUGCUCUAUCCACACUCCGGAGUCAAGUAGCUAUACGUUGGGAUCAAUGGUUACCGAGGAAACUCGAGGUAUGAUUCUUCGAGAUGGUUAACUGUUUUAUCCCACUGUCACUGGCUCUGUACCUAAAGACCAUGGAUUAGAUUUGGGUGAUCACUGGAGGAGAGUCAUGCAAGGUCACGCUGGAGCUAAUAUUAUGAGCUAUUAGGUAUUAUCACUGUCCAUUUUCAAAGUCUCUCAGUUUCCUCUUAUCGACUUGCUAUGGUUAAUACCAAAGAAUUUUCUUUUCACCACUCCAUCAUCUUUUAGAUCCAAAAUUACUCUCCCUAAUUUUAUCUACGAAUAUCUCAUUCCCUAAUCAAAAGAUGAGCUCUGAAUCAUCUGGAUCCAACCUUUGCCGGAACUGUGAAUCUCGCAGCGGUAGUCCUCAUCGCCUCGAAGCAACUCCUUAUAUGAGUUUUGAAUCUCGCCUCGAAGCAACACGGGUCUUCUUGGUCUCAAACGCACCAGUACCAAACCCGUGGUCUCUUCGUCAUGUAAGUGAAGAUAGCUUUAGUAAGUAUCAAGAACUAUGCAUAUAGGGUUUUUUAGUCUAAGGAAUCUUACUGUUAGAUGACCCCGCUGUUUGUGAAGCUCGUCGAAUAUUAGAAACUGUUGGGUGGAUUUACAUUGUUUUGCAUGUUCGCCCUUUUCUGUCCAAGAGUAGUCAGGGAAUGCAUUUCGAACCUAUACAGUGCCAAUGACGGAGUCUAUAUUAGGGGCUGCAUGUUUGAUUCGACCCUGUCGUGAUAAAUCAACUAUUUAUGACUCCAAAUGUCGAACACUCUCACGUUUGGAAGAGUGAUGAUCUCUCGGAGGCAACUAUAUUUUGAUGCUGACACCAAAAUUACUCUCCCUAAUCUCAUCUACCAAACUCUCAUUCUUCAGAGGAACAUUACUGCUCUUCCGGGUGAUGAACCCCUUAUUGGAAAUCCACUGUGUAUUAAUGGAGCCGAAGUAGACACUCACAUUCGAAGGGGUAGAAGAAGAGGCUGUGCCCGUCUCGGAUAGGACAGGCAGUUUACAUGAAACGUGUUUAACAUAACUUCUAGAUUAUUAUGUUUGAAGUACUACCUCGGCAAUAACUGAUCAGUUUUAAUUAUAUGCAUCUGUAUUUUGUUGAUUUUCUGUUUAAUAUUAUUUUAGCUACAAUAUUAUCGUAUUGAUUAUAUAUGUACAAGUAUACGGUAUACACCGUAUAUGGCCUUACACCUC